GCUCUUUUCUAAUGGUGUGUUCUUAACGUUUAGAAACAUCUCAUAGGUAAUACAUAGUACCCCCUCAAGCCUAUUUAGCAACAAAAUAAUCCCCAAGCCCCAGUAAUAAAAAAUCCACAUGUUUAUAUCAUUCUUGCAGAUAUAGUUCUGUUUCAGGAUCAAGGACAUGAGAAGAAAGAACGCUGAUUUUUAGUGUAUUAUGUCCUUGUAGAGUAGACUGGCAAAUUUUUUCUUUGCUAUGGUGUUGCUAAUAUAGGAUCCUACUUUACAUUUUUACCACUUGUUUACAAAGCUGGUGUAUGGAUCUUUACACCUUGGAAUAUGAACGUAAAUGGUCACUACAGUAUUAUGGAAAGGAAGAAAUCUAACACAUGCAUUUCUCAGACUGCUUUCUCUUUCUUCUUCCAGGAAAAACCAGUUCAGUUAUUAAGGGAAGCUCUCAACACAGAGCAGAGCAAGAGAAGGCAGGGCUUCCGAGAGAAUAGCUGUGUACCAUCAAAGCGAAUUGGGUUGCACACAGACAUGGUAUAUCAUACACGAGACAAAGAUUUCAAGACCAGUUCUGUCAAAUGGCUGAGACCCAACCUUGCCUGGUGAUGGUGGGGAUGUUGACAUGCUGUGCCUCCUGGCUUCAUUCUAAGUAAAUAAAUCAAUAAUAACUCUUUUGAGCCUUUCACCUUUCUU
Molecule: long non-coding RNA, 684 nt
Filed under: Mustela putorius furo (domestic ferret)
Lineage: Eukaryota; Metazoa; Chordata; Mammalia; Carnivora; Mustelidae
Description: lncRNA (ENSMPUG00000024966.1)
Source: RNAcentral